ACAUUUCUACAAGUAUGCGCAUAUAUCUCAUUUUCUUGAUUUCUUAAGCAAUAAUCACUUAAUUUAAUUCACAAUUGCAUUUCAAACACAUAUUAAGUACAUAUUAACAUGUAUAAUUCACAUCAUCAACCCACAUAUUUGUAACCCACAUUUUCAUUCAUGUAUAAGCUGUAACUUGACCGAAAGUACACAUAUACUCAAACAUCCCAAUAAAUAUCCUUUAUAACUCCAUCAUAUCUCACUAUUCAACUUUACCUAUUUCCAAUAGAAAAUCAACUUCCACAUACCUGAACAUUGAAUUCAUUUAGCACAUUUAAUCACUGUUAACGAUACCCGUUGAAUCAUUCGAAAUCAUUACGGAUACUCAUUAAGCACAUAUAGCUCUUACAAUGCCAUAUCCUAGAUAUGGUCUUACAUAUGCUCACAUAUCGAGCCGAUGCCAUGUCCCAGACAUGGUCUUACACACUAUCUCAAAUCAAUGCCUUCGUCCCAGACGAGGUCUUACAUGAAUUCCACUUCACACACUUAGUGCCCACUGACCGAUCUCGCACUCAUAGUGCUCGAUUAAAGGAAUUCGCACACACACAGUGCCUCUAAUCAUUCACACACAUAGUGCUCUUAUUCAUUCGUUAUUACACAUUGAAAUGACUUAACCAAGUCUAUAAACAUCAUGUAUGAACACUUUUAAACAUAUCAUCUCAUUUAAAUUUGAAUUCGUAUAGUAAUGAAUACUUAAACUUUGCUCAAAUUACCGGCACGAAGCCUACUAGGCACGAAGGCCCGAAUACACGUCACUAGCAUGAUUGCUCUUCGGGACCUAGCCCGGAUAUAACACCAGCACGAAUGCUCUUCGGGGUUUAGCACGGAUAUAUCACUAGCACGAAUGCUCUUCGGAACUUAGUCCGGAUACAUCACUAGCACGAAUGCUCUUCGAGACUUAGCCCGGAUACAUCACUAGCACGAAUGCUCUUCGGGGUUUAGCACGGAUAUAUCACUAGCACGAAUGCUCUUCGGAACUUAGUCCGGAUACAUCACUAGCACGAAUGCUCUUCGAGACUUAGCCCGGAUACAUCACUAGCACGAAUGCUCUUCGGGGUUUAGCACGGAUAUAUCACUAGCACGAAUGCUCUUCGGAACUUAGUCCGGAUACAUCACUAGCAUGAAUGCUCUUCGGGACUUAGCCCGGAUACAUCACCAGCAUGAAUGCUCUUCGGGACUUAGCCCGGAUACAUCACUAGCACGAAAGCUCUUCGGGACUUAGCCCGGAUCAUCGUCGAGACCUUUAGCUCGGAUGAAAUCUCCACACAAGGCCAGCGAAUUUUAAUCCGGACAUAAUCUCUGUACAUAGCCAUCGGGUCUUUACCCGGACAUAAUCUCUUCAUAUAGUCAGCGGGUCUUUAAACUCGGAUUCACAUCACUGAGUCUCAUACAUAUUUAUUCACAUGUUAUCAUGUUUCACCUGGCACAAAUCACAUUUAUAAUUUAAUCAAUUCAUUCACAUGUAAACAUAUAACAUGAUUCUUGACUUUAAGUCGUAAAUAUCAUUCAAAUCUAAUACAUGUAUGCUUCUUUUACUAAACUUUCAGCUCAAUAAGCAAUCACACAAAAGCAUAUAUCCCCAAUCUCUUCCUUUGUUCAUUUCUCUAAUAACCUUAUUUUGAUAAGGACAAUGGGACAUCAUUCAUCUAUCAUACAUGUAUAUCAUGGCAUUUUAAGUUAAAUACCAAAUUCAAUUACUCAAAACUUACUUAUGUUAUACCCUUCUCAAUAUUGACACGUCAUAAGCAUGUCUCAGUCCUCUCAAUACCAUCUGCUACAGCUCGAUCGGGAUCGGAAUUCAUUACAAUAAAUAAACACAUUUUCAAUUGUCAGAAAUCAGCACACUAUCAAAUAAUCACAUAAUGGCAUGUAUAGCUAGACCCAAACGUAUUACGAUAGUCCUAGAAUCAACUAAACCGUAGCUCUGAUACCAAUAAAAUUGUAACACCCCGUACCCGAGGCCGUUACCGAAGUCGGACACGAGGGGUUCACAGACUAAAUUCGCUUACUAUCGCAGUCCAUUUUAAAUAUUUCCAGACAGCUGGCUAACUGUGUCGCUGUCACCUUAAAAAUCAUAUCUUGAGUUUCACAACUCGAAAAUCAGUUUCGUGAUUUUUCCCUGAAACUAGACUCCUAUGUCCAUCUACAUAUUUUUUUCUAGAAUUUUUGGUCGGGCCAAUUAGUACAGUUUAUUAGUUAAAGUCUCCCCUGUUACAGGGUGCGAGUACACUGACCUUCAUGCAUUACAAUUCGGAUAUCUCCCUGUACAGGGCUUCAAUACUGAUGCCAUUUGUUUCUAUAGAAACUAGACUCAGAGAGGAAUCUAUACAUAUAUGGCAUGACUCCUAAUUAUCUCUGGUUAAUUUAUAAUGAAUUUCCAAAUUCAGAACAGGGAAUCCAGAAACCGUUCUGGCCCUGUCUCACGAAAACCUAAUUAUCUCUUAACAUACCACUCAUAUGACCAUUUAGUUUCUUCCAUAUGAAAUUGGAUUCAUCAAGGUUCAUUUAAAUAAUUUAUUCACUAUUUAAUUCUAUUCCUACUAUUUUUAGUGAUUUUCCAAAUCUACAUCACUGCUGCUGUCAGCAUCUGCCUUUAAGGUAGACUUUACCUAUUUCAUAGUUUCCAUGAUUCAACUAGCCCUUUUAGCAUAAAUAGCACAAAUUAUGAUAGUGAUUAACCAUUCCCAUGGCCAAUCCUUGUUAAGCAUAUCCACACCUCUCAAUAACCAUAUCCAUACCAAAUGAUUAUAACAUUAUGCUCAAACAUAUAUAAGCCAUUUUCGCAUGGCUAUCCAAAAUUAUACAAAUCCAAAGGGUCCAUGACCCACUACAAAAAGGGUAGUCCUAUACAUGCCAUUUUCAGAGUUCAACCAAAAGUGUACCAAAAGGGCUUUGAUAGUGUGGGAGACUUCGACUUCAAUAAUCCCGAGUCCGAUAGCUGACGAGCCAAAAUCUAUGAAACAGAGAUUCAAAGAACGGAGUAAGCAUUUAAUGCUUAGUAAGUUUUAAGCAAGACAAAGUGUUCUCAAUCACUAUUAUUGGUCAUUCAUUUCAACUGUUCGAUGAAGUUAAUCUAGAGCUUCAUCUCGAUCUAUAAUAUAAUUAAACGCAACACUUGGCUGCCACAUAUAUACUUUCGAAUAAUAAUGACCUAGAUGGUCAAAUAUUUCCAAAGCACAUUCUCACAUUUGGAGUUAUAAUAUUAAUCACAUUUACCUACCUCUUUGAUACUGAUAAUUCACCUCGAAAUCACUCCACCGAUGAGUAAGUAAUACGUACCUGAACAUCUUGAAUACAUAAUACUUAUUUGAUGGUAACUUAAUGCAGAUACUCAAUAUCAAAGUCUUACUUGAAUCCUAGCAUUUAGCCGUCGGGUCUUUAAAGCUCGGAUAUAGUACGAGCACGAAGCCUACGGACAUUAAUCAGGAUAAUACUCUCGCAUAAAGCCUGCGGGGUUUUAACCCGGAUAUAGUACUGACACAAUUUCCCUUCGGGACUUAUCACAUUUAUACACUUUUACAUCCAUCACGUUGGCCACUCGGCCCUGUCACAUAUAUACACUUUCACAUUCAUCACAUCGGCUAUUAGGCCUCAUCACAUAUAUACACUUUCACAUUCAUCACAUCGGCCAUUAGGCCUUAUCACAUAUAUAUACUUUCACAUUCAUCACAUCGGCCAUUAGGCCUUAUCACAUAUAUAUACACUUUCACAUUCAUCACAUUGGCCAUUCGGCCUUAUCACAUAUAUACACUUUCACAUUCAUCACAUCGGCUAUUAGGCCUUAUCACAUAUAUACACUUUCACAUUCAUCACAUCGGCCAUUAGGCCUUAUCACAUAUAUACACUUUCACAUUCAUCACAUCGGCCAUUAGGCCUUAUCACAUAUAUAUACACUUUCACAUUCAUCACAUCGGCCAUUAGGCCUUAUCACAUAUAUAUACACUUUCACAUUCAUCACAUUGGCCAUUCGGCCUUAUCACAUAUAUAUACACUUUCACAUUCAUCACAUCGGCCAUUAGGCCUUAUCACAUAUAUAUACACUUUCACAUUCAUCACAUCGGCCAUUAGGCCUUAUCACAUAUAUAUACACUUUCACAUCACAAUUAUCCAAAUAUACUUCACAUAUCACAUAUACUAUCAUGUAUACACUUUGUCUUGGCCGAAUCUACAUUAAUCAUUUCCCAAUGAAUAAUUCAAUUUCACGCCAUACUAUCAUUUCAUAUUCGAAUACUCAUAAACUUACAAUUUCACAAAUUUUAAUAUCAAAGAUCCAUCUAACACUCAGGUAUCGUUUUACAAUAUCACGAUUUAGAAUUCACGUAUGGGUUUAAUCAAUAGCUUAUGAGUAACUAAAACAAGUUUUAUCCAUGUUUACAACAAAAUCACAUAUUCACUACGAGCUGUUUUCCUGAGCAGUAGUCACUAAAUUAUUUAUAACUGGAGCUACAAAACUCCAAAUCACUUGCCGUUAAUUUUCCCUGAAUAUAGACUCGUAUAUCUUCCAUCCAUAAAAUUUUCAGAAUUUUAGGUUUGGCCAAUCAAUACCAGAUUUUUCUUAAAGUUUCCCCUGUUUCACUGUUUGACUAAUCUGACCACUCUUCACUACGAAUCAAAUUUCUCAUUUUACAGAAUUAAAAAUGUGUUGUAUUUGAUUUCAUUUGAAACUAGACUCAUUAAGGAGUCUAAGCAUAUAAAUUUUAUCUUAUAACCAUUUUUGUACAAUUUAUAAUGAUUUUCUAAAAACAGAACAGGGGAUUUCGGAGUCUUUCUGACACUGUCCCACACAACUUUAAAUAUCUCUUUAUAGGAAAUUUCUUUGCUUCCACGGUCUCUUUUAUAAGAAACUAGACUAAAUAAGCUUUGAUUACAUAUUUUAUUCAGCCUAUAAUUCCACACCAACAAUUUAUAGUGAUUUUCUAAAAUCACGUUACUGCUGCUGUCCAAAGCAAAUUAUUACAAUUUGCUCUUAAAUUUCCAAGUCCAAACACUUAUGAACUUACCAUUUGAGUUUAAGACAUAUCAUGGCCACAUCAUAUCUUAUUAAAUCAACUCAUUAUGUCCUAUUAUGACUGAAUUUACUCAACGUUUAAUCACUUAAAACUUACCUCGGAUGUGGUCGAACGAUUUCGGCGGCUAUUCGAUCACUUUUUUCCUUCCCUUUAUCGGAUUUAGUUCCCCUUUGCUCUUGAUCUUAAUUUAACAAAUAAAUUGAUUUAAUCAUUUGAACAUCGAAAAGAGAAAAUCAAGGCACUUAACCCAUAUAUAUACAUUAGACAUUAAAGUCACAUACAUAUGAAAUCAUGAAUCAACUCAACAUAUUAACCCACACUCUCUUUUAGCCGAUUGUCUAAGCCAAGAUUAAGCCACCAAUAUGCUUACUUAUGGCCGAACAUACACAUCAACUUAUGUACUCAUUCAUGUGGCCGAACAUACAUGUCUAUGUUGAGGCCGAUUGCAACACUUAAUACAUUCUACAAGUAUGGUCACUACCAUUUUGUUUCAAGUUCAAAACUUGGCCAAUACACAUAUAUACACUAGUAAAGCAUCCUCUCCCUUUCCAUCAAUUCAACACAUGCAUUACUCAUUAAUAUACAAAAUUAUAUUCGGCCUUAGCACACAACUUGCUAGCCGAUUCUUCUCCAUCUAGCAACUAAUGCACAUAUGUGCUCAUUUGUUAGACUCUACUUCAUCUAACAACAACCAUAUUUUCCCUUCUACUUCCUACCAUGGCCGGAUGCUCAAGAUACCUCAAUAUCGAAACUUUUAGCUUGGAUUGCUUAAAGAACUUGGUGAUGAGUUCAAAUUUACCUAACACCUCAAGCCUCAUAACACAUCUAUAUAGCUAACAUGCUAAUAGUCUCAAGGCUUCAACUAAAACUUUUGAAGCCUCUUAGUCGAAUACUAACUCUCUAAUAAUCCCAAAUCCAUCCAUGAGAUAGUUAGAAUUUAGACUAAUCAUCCAAGGGAUGUAUGAACUUUCAAAGCAACACUAAACAUACCUUAAUCUAGUGAGCCUUCAUAGCCGAUUUUUCUCCAAGCUCAUUCCCUUCCUUUCUUUCUUCUAUUCGGCCAAAGAUGUUCAAGGAUGAACACUUUUUUUUUCUUUGUUUCCUUUCUUCCAUUCACAGCAAAGGGGGGGGGGGCAUGGAUGAGACCAUUUUUUUUUUGUCAUCAUUUACCUUCCCAUUAUUAUUUUAUCCUUUCUCCCAUAAACCAUUAGCACAACAUGUUUUAUGACAUGUUUUGCCCAUCACCCUUUGUCAUGGCUGGCCACUAGUAAUUAAAUGGGGGAAAUUGACAUGCAAGUCCACCCUUUUGAUUACAUGCACUAAUAGAUCCUUAUGGAUUAACCUAUCACAUUUCAAAAGUGUCACACAUAAGUCCUAUUACUAAAUUCACAUGCAAUCGACUAAAUCGAAGCUCAAAACUUUCACACAUUCAUAUUCACAUAUUUAGACAAUAAAUAUCAUAUUCAAAUAAUUUGGUGACUCAGUUUAGCGAUCCCGAAACCGCUUUCCGACUAGGGUCAUUUUAGGGCUGUCACAACUCUCCCCCACUUAAGAAAUUUUCGUCCCCGAAAAUUUCUACCGAUGCAUAGUUUAGGAUAACGUCCUCUUAUUGAAUUAUAUCCACAAAGACAUUAGCUCAUCGAUAGCAAUUGUAAUUCAUUAUUGAUUUCGCAUCGAUCUAUAAAAUCAUUUUCUUAUCUUAAAACAAAUACAUAAACAUUUCUACAAGUAUGCGCAUAUAUCUCAUUUUCUUGAUUUCUUAAGCAAUAAUCACUUAAUUUAAUUCACAAUUGCAUUUCAAACACAUAUUAAGUACAUAUUAACAUGUAUAAUUCACAUCAUCAACCCACAUAUUUGUAACCCAC
RNAcentral lists this long non-coding RNA (6913 nucleotides) under Gossypium barbadense (sea-island cotton). Its description in RNAcentral is "long non-coding RNA (GBAR_LNC013667)". Lineage: Eukaryota; Viridiplantae; Streptophyta; Magnoliopsida; Malvales; Malvaceae. The record is from RNAcentral.